GGUUAAGCGACUAAGCGUACACGGUGGAUGCCCUGGCAGUCAGAGGCGAUGAAGGACGUGCUAAUCUGCGAUAAGCGUCGGUAAGGUGAUAUGAACCGUUAUAACCGGCGAUUUCCGAAUGGGGAAACCCAGUGUGAUUCGACACACUAUCAUUAACUGAAUCCAUAGGUUAAUGAGGCGAACCGGGGGAACUGAAACAUCUAAGUACCCCGAGGAAAAGAAAUCAACCGAGAUUCCCCCAGUAGCGGCGAGCGAACGGGGAGGAGCCCAGAGCCUGAAUCAGUGUGUGUGUUAGUGGAAGCGUCUGGAAAGGCGCGCGAUACAGGGUGACAGCCCCGUACACAAAAAUGCACAUGCUGUGAGCUCGAUGAGUAGGGCGGGACACGUGGUAUCCUGUCUGAAUAUGGGGGGACCAUCCUCCAAGGCUAAAUACUCCUGACUGACCGAUAGUGAACCAGUACCGUGAGGGAAAGGCGAAAAGAACCCCGGCGAGGGGAGUGAAAAAGAACCUGAAACCGUGUACGUACAAGCAGUGGGAGCCUCUUAAUGGGGUGACUGCGUACCUUUUGUAUAAUGGGUCAGCGACUUAUAUUCUGUAGCAAGGUUAACCGAAUAGGGGAGCCGAAGGGAAACCGAGUCUUAACUGGGCGUUAAGUUGCAGGGUAUAGACCCGAAACCCGGUGAUCUAGCCAUGGGCAGGUUGAAGGUUGGGUAACACUAACUGGAGGACCGAACCGACUAAUGUUGAAAAAUUAGCGGAUGACUUGUGGCUGGGGGUGAAAGGCCAAUCAAACCGGGAGAUAGCUGGUUCUCCCCGAAAGCUAUUUAGGUAGCGCCUCGUGAAUUCAUCUCCGGGGGUAGAGCACUGUUUCGGCAAGGGGGUCAUCCCGACUUACCAACCCGAUGCAAACUGCGAAUACCGGAGAAUGUUAUCACGGGAGACACACGGCGGGUGCUAACGUCCGUCGUGAAGAGGGAAACAACCCAGACCGCCAGCUAAGGUCCCAAAGUCAUGGUUAAGUGGGAAACGAUGUGGGAAGGCCCAGACAGCCAGGAUGUUGGCUUAGAAGCAGCCAUCAUUUAAAGAAAGCGUAAUAGCUCACUGGUCGAGUCGGCCUGCGCGGAAGAUGUAACGGGGCUAAACCAUGCACCGAAGCUGCGGCAGCGACACUAUGUGUUGUUGGGUAGGGGAGCGUUCUGUAAGCCUGUGAAGGUGGCCUGUGAGGGUUGCUGGAGGUAUCAGAAGUGCGAAUGCUGACAUAAGUAACGAUAAAGCGGGUGAAAAGCCCGCUCGCCGGAAGACCAAGGGUUCCUGUCCAACGUUAAUCGGGGCAGGGUGAGUCGACCCCUAAGGCGAGGCCGAAAGGCGUAGUCGAUGGGAAACAGGUUAAUAUUCCUGUACUUGGUGUUACUGCGAAGGGGGGACGGAGAAGGCUAUGUUGGCCGGGCGACGGUUGUCCCGGUUUAAGCGUGUAGGCUGGUUUUCCAGGCAAAUCCGGAAAACCAAGGCUGAGGCGUGAUGACGAGGCACUACGGUGCUGAAGUGACAAAUGCCCUGCUUCCAGGAAAAGCCUCUAAGCAUCAGGUAACAUCAAAUCGUACCCCAAACCGACACAGGUGGUCAGGUAGAGAAUACCAAGGCGCUUGAGAGAACUCGGGUGAAGGAACUAGGCAAAAUGGUGCCGUAACUUCGGGAGAAGGCACGCUGAUAUGUAGGUGAAGCGACUUGCUCGUGGAGCUGAAAUCAGUCGAAGAUACCAGCUGGCUGCAACUGUUUAUUAAAAACACAGCACUGUGCAAACACGAAAGUGGACGUAUACGGUGUGACGCCUGCCCGGUGCCGGAAGGUUAAUUGAUGGGGUUAGCGGUAACGCGAAGCUCUUGAUCGAAGCCCCGGUAAACGGCGGCCGUAACUAUAACGGUCCUAAGGUAGCGAAAUUCCUUGUCGGGUAAGUUCCGACCUGCACGAAUGGCGUAAUGAUGGCCAGGCUGUCUCCACCCGAGACUCAGUGAAAUUGAACUCGCUGUGAAGAUGCAGUGUACCCGCGGCAAGACGGAAAGACCCCGUGAACCUUUACUAUAGCUUGACACUGAACAUUGAGCCUUGAUGUGUAGGAUAGGUGGGAGGCUUUGAAGUGUGGACGCCAGUCUGCAUGGAGCCGACCUUGAAAUACCACCCUUUAAUGUUUGAUGUUCUAACGUUGGCCCCUAAUCGGGGUUGCGGACAGUGUCUGGUGGGUAGUUUGACUGGGGCGGUCUCCUCCUAAAGAGUAACGGAGGAGCACGAAGGUUGGCUAAUCCUGGUCGGACAUCAGGAGGUUAGUGCAAUGGCAUAAGCCAGCUUGACUGCGAGCGUGACGGCGCGAGCAGGUGCGAAAGCAGGUCAUAGUGAUCCGGUGGUUCUGAAUGGAAGGGCCAUCGCUCAACGGAUAAAAGGUACUCCGGGGAUAACAGGCUGAUACCGCCCAAGAGUUCAUAUCGACGGCGGUGUUUGGCACCUCGAUGUCGGCUCAUCACAUCCUGGGGCUGAAGUAGGUCCCAAGGGUAUGGCUGUUCGCCAUUUAAAGUGGUACGCGAGCUGGGUUUAGAACGUCGUGAGACAGUUCGGUCCCUAUCUGCCGUGGGCGCUGGAGAACUGAGGGGGGCUGCUCCUAGUACGAGAGGACCGGAGUGGACGCAUCACUGGUGUUCGGGUUGUCAUGCCAAUGGCACUGCCCGGUAGCUAAAUGCGGAAGAGAUAAGUGCUGAAAGCAUCUAAGCACGAAACUUGCCCCGAGAUGAGUUCUCCCUGAGACUUAGAGUCUCCUGAAGGAACGUUGAAGACGACGACGUUGAUAGGCCGGGUGUGUAAGCGCAGCGAUGCGUUGAGCUAACCGGUACUAAUGAACCGUGAGGCUUAACCUU
This 2904-nucleotide ribosomal RNA is filed under the name Escherichia coli. RNAcentral describes it as "23S ribosomal RNA". It matches the Rfam family "Bacterial large subunit ribosomal RNA". Lineage: Bacteria; Pseudomonadati; Pseudomonadota; Gammaproteobacteria; Enterobacterales; Enterobacteriaceae. The record is from RNAcentral.